GAUGAACGCUGGCGGCGUGCCUAAUACAUGCAAGUCGAGCGAACGGACGAGAAGCUUGCUUCUCUAAUGUUAGCGGCGGACGGGUGAGUAACACGUGGAUAACCUACCUAUAAGACUGGGAUAACUUCGGGAAACCGUAGCUAAUACCGGAUAAUAUUUUGAACCGCAUGGUUCAAAAGUGAAAGACGGUCUUGCUGUCACUUAUAGAUGGAUCCGCGCUGCAUUAGCUAGUUGGUAAGGUAACGGCUUACCAAGGCAACGAUGCAUAGCCGACCUGAGAGGGUUAUCGGCCACACUGGAACUGAGACACGGUCCAGACUCCUACGGGAGGCAGCAGUAGGGAAUCUUCCGCAAUGGGCGAAAGCCUGACGGAGCAACGCCGCGUGAGUGAUGAAGGUCUUCGGAUCGUAAAACUCUGUUAUUAGGGAAGAACAUAUGUGUAAGUAACUGUGCACAUCUUGACGGUACCUAAUCAGAAAGCCACGGCUAACUACGUG
Molecule: ribosomal RNA, 497 nt
Filed under: uncultured bacterium
Lineage: Bacteria
Description: partial 16S ribosomal RNA
Rfam family: Bacterial small subunit ribosomal RNA
Source: RNAcentral